CCUACGGGAGGCAGCAGUGGGGAAUAUUGCACAAUGGGGGAAACCCUGAUGCAGCGACGCCGCGUGAGUGAUGAAGUAUUUCGGUACGUAAAGCUCUAUCAGCAGGGAAGAAGAUGACGGUACCUGACUAAGAAGCCCCGGCUAACUACGUGCCAGCAGCCGCGGUAAUACGUAGGGGGCAAGCGUUAUCCGGAUUUACUGGGUGUAAAGGGAGCGUAGACGGCGGUACAAGCCUGAUGUGAAAGCCCGGGGCUCAACCCCGGGACUGCAUUGGGAACUGUGUGGCUGGAGUGUAGGAGAGGCAGGCGGAAGUCCUAGUGUAGCGGUGAAAUGCGUAGAUAUUAGGAGGAACACCAGUGGCGAAGGCGGCCUACUGGACGGUGACUGACGUUGAGGCUCGAAAGCGUGGGGAGCAAACAGGAUUAGAUACCCUGGUAGUC
Molecule: ribosomal RNA, 440 nt
Filed under: uncultured bacterium
Lineage: Bacteria
Description: partial 16S ribosomal RNA
Rfam family: Bacterial small subunit ribosomal RNA
Source: RNAcentral